This 270-nucleotide ribosomal RNA is filed under the name uncultured Geobacillus sp. Its description in RNAcentral is "partial 16S ribosomal RNA". It matches the Rfam family "Bacterial small subunit ribosomal RNA", at positions 1112 to 1382 of the family's 1533-position model. Lineage: Bacteria; Bacillati; Bacillota; Bacilli; Caryophanales; Anoxybacillaceae. The record is from RNAcentral.
UAGUUGCCAGCAUUCGGUUGGGCACUCUAGAGGGACUGCCGGCGACAAGGUCGGAGGAAGUGGGGAUGACGUCAAAUCAUCAUGCCCCUUAUGACCUGGGCUACACACGUGCUACAAUGGGCGGUACAAAGGGCUGCGAACCCGCGAGGGGGGGCGAAUCCCAAAAAGCCGCUCUCAGUUCGGAUUGCAGGCUGCAACUCGCCUGCAUGAAGCCGGAAUCGCUAGUAAUCGCGGAUCAGCAUGCCGCGGUCGAAUACGUUCCCGGGCCUU